UACAGAGGGGGCAAGCGUUGUUCGGAAUUACUGGGCGUAAAGGGCGCGUAGGCGGCCUUCUAAGUCGAACGUGAAAUCCCCGGGCUCAACCCGGGAACUGCGUCCGAUACUGGAAGGCUUGAAUCCGGGAGAGGGAUGCGGAAUUCCAGGUGUAGCGGUGAAAUGCGUAGAUAUCUGGAGGAACACCGGUGGCGAAGGCAGGUCUCUGGGCUGACACUGACGCUCAUGCACGAAAGCGUGGGGAGCAAACAGG
Molecule: ribosomal RNA, 253 nt
Filed under: uncultured bacterium
Lineage: Bacteria
Description: partial 16S ribosomal RNA
Rfam family: Bacterial small subunit ribosomal RNA
Source: RNAcentral